GCGGCAGGCCUAACACAUGCAAGUCGAGCGCUACCUUCGGGUGGAGCGGCGGACGGGUGAGUAAUGCUUGGGAAUAUGCCUUUGAGUGGGGGACAACAGUUGGAAACGACUGCUAAUACCGCAUAAUGUCUACGGACCAAAGGGGGGGAUUCUUCGGAACCUCUCGCUCAUAGAUUAGCCCAAGUGAGAUUAGCUAGUUGGUAAGGUAAUGGCUUACCAAGGCGACGAUCUCUAGCUGGUUUGAGAGGAUGAUC
Molecule: ribosomal RNA, 254 nt
Filed under: uncultured bacterium
Lineage: Bacteria
Description: partial 16S ribosomal RNA
Rfam family: Bacterial small subunit ribosomal RNA
Source: RNAcentral